CUUGAGUUCCCUUGACCACUUCAUUGGGGCUAUAUACUCUACUACUCCCACUGAAGUGUUUGGGGGAACUCUGGGU
RNAcentral lists this small RNA (76 nucleotides) under Manihot esculenta (cassava). RNAcentral's name for it is "precursor microRNA miR395b". The record is from RNAcentral. Lineage: Eukaryota; Viridiplantae; Streptophyta; Magnoliopsida; Malpighiales; Euphorbiaceae.